This 560-nucleotide ribosomal RNA is filed under the name uncultured bacterium. RNAcentral describes it as "partial 16S ribosomal RNA". It matches the Rfam family "Bacterial small subunit ribosomal RNA", at positions 355 to 1375 of the family's 1533-position model. The record is from RNAcentral.
UGGGGAAUAUUGGACAAUGGGGGCAACCCUGAUCCAGCCAUGCCGCGUGAGUGAUGAAGGCCUUAGGGUUGUAAAGCUCUUUCACCCGGGACGAUAAUGACGGUACCGGGAGAAGAAGCCCCGGCUAACUUCGUGCCAGCAGCCGCGGUAAUACGAAGGGGGCUAGCGUUGUUCGGAAUCACUGGGCGUAAAGCGCACGUAGGCGGACCGUUAAGUCGGAGGUGAAAUCCUGGGGCUCAACCCCAGAACUGCCUUCGAUACUGGCGGUCUCGAGUCCGGAAGAGGUGAGUGGAACUGCCAGUGUAGAGGUGAAAUUCGUAGAUAUUGGCAAGAACACCAGUGGCGAAGGCGGCUCACUGGUCCGGUACUGACGCUGAGGUGCGAAAGCGUGGGGAGUAAACAGGAUUAGAUACCCUGGUAGUCCACGCCGUAAACGAUGAAUGCCAGCCGUCGGGCAGCAUGCUGUUCGGUGGCGCAGCUAACGCUUUAAGCAUUCCGCCUGGGGAGUACGGUCGCAAGAUUAAAACUCAAAGGAAUUGACGGGGUCAUAGCUGUUUCCU